GUGAUCUUUUUCACAAGAGAACGUUGAGGUCGACACUGACAAUGUUUUAGACUGUUGUCUGUCAUGAAAUAACAAAGAAAACGUCUGUUAAUUCAGCAUGGCUCUUAGCAAAGUGACUAAAAUAUUCAUCGGAUGGGCAUUGAUAAUUUCAGGCGGUUUGGGCACCUUCGCUUUGGCUCGGGACAGAGUGUACCAAAACAGAGUGGAAAUCAUGAAAAGUAAGAAAAGAAUCAAAGCUGCCAUCGAUGCCGAUGUUGAAAAACGCAGAAUCGCAGAAGCAGAAGCAGAACAGCGACAACAAUCAUGAUGGAAUUUGGUGUCCACUGUCAAAACAUGACGUUGAACAAUGAACAGACGUGGACAAUGUGUGUGAAACUGUGUUGUUUUUAAAUGAAAAAAAAAAAGCGGAAGAGAAAAAAACAUGAUUUUAUUGUACCUUUACAUACCACACAUAACAUUUAUAUGUACGUGUGGUGUUUGAUACUUUUAUCAGCAUAGACGUGUGGGGGGGGGGGGGGCCUCCCGUCUUAAACACAUCCGUCAAGAUAUUCAGAGAAUGUGCCUAAUUAAAGACAGACGUGUUUGAAUCUUCUUUGGGUGUAAGCACGUGUCAAAUGGUUGAUUAAUAGGGAUGGGUUAGUAUAUAUGCAGGGUUUCUGCCAGAAAGAAAUUGCGCCAAAUUUUCUUCAUCAAAAUGCGCACCCACUUCCCAUUUUGGCUUAAUCCUACGGGACAUUCCAAAUUACAUAGCACCAUACCAUCCUCCGCCUGUUACCGGCUACGGUCGGACUGCUGGUGCUCCCUUGCACCUGCCAGUGCAGGCGGUCCCUCCUCCCACCCCCACCCUUUCCUGUCCUGGACAGAGGAGCCGGUCGAGGCCGGCACUUGUGCCCAGGAGAGGCGUGCGCUACAACAGCUAGCUCUGAAUGUGCACGUUAAACAAUUUGGUCUUUGUCAGAAAGAAAUUGUUGGGUAUGGCGCUAUGGAAUUGAAUGCAACCAUAAUCAACGGGAGGUGUGGAAGGGGGGUGGGUGGCUCCCCCAGAAAGAAAAUGUGUUAGGGUUAGGGGUAAGUCAUUAAUUUUGUCAAAAUCUGCAAAGAAAUUUGGGUAUGGCGCCAUAUCCGUGUUACCCUCUGGUAGAAACCCUGAUAUGGUCUUCUGCUACUAGCAAAAAUGGCAGUUUGUCAUAUUUUUAGGCGGGUGGCCCUAGGGGCUACUGUCACUAACCCCGUCAAAGUUCAGUGCUGUCUGGGAUCACCUGAGUAGCUGUUUUGGAACAACAUGUAACUUAUUGAAUCACUUGCUAUUCAUAUAAUAUAAUAAUAUGUAUGUUCCUCAUGUUCCUAGCCCUGUUGUUGUUUUUCUUCUUCUUUCUCUUACCAAAGGUAACUCUAGGUAACAGCUGGACUAAGAAAGUUAAUGUGCCAAGCUCAGGCGCGGAUCCAUGAGAAGGAUGUUGAGGGGUUGCCGAGGAUAGUACCCCGCAGUUUUCAAGUUUCCCGAAAAAUUCGGUGUUUAUUAAAUUAGUGCAGCGGAUUAAAACAAAAUGUAGGGCUUAGUAGGAAUGUAAUGUGGUAAAUUUGGUGUUUCUACAUACUGUAUGUUCCCUUGUUAAACACUGCAUUCCUUCCUACAAAAAUUCUGCAUCCUCGUCUGAAAGUUGAUCAUUUGUAGUCGUAGGGGUAAACGACUACAACAUAUUGCCAAACUCGAUGCUUACAAUUCCUAAAUUAGUCAAUCGGUGGGGGUGCUUAUAAUGGCUCUAUUGGUAACAUUUAACGUCAGAAAUAUUUAAUUUUAGUGAUUAAUAAUAUCAAGAAUAUGUCAUUUUCUGUCUGACAGUCAUGUUGAAUAAAAUUAAGAAUACAUUUUUGA
Long non-coding RNA from Gigantopelta aegis, 1876 nucleotides. RefSeq lists it as uncharacterized. The record is from RefSeq and is a predicted model, not a curated record. The transcript is spliced from 2 exons. Lineage: Eukaryota; Metazoa; Mollusca; Gastropoda; Neomphalida; Peltospiridae.